GUCAAGAUUAAGCGACAGUAAGGACAUUUAGGACACAGGGUGCAGGGCUGACAAUAAAUGGACAGACUAGGGAAACACAUGGGCUUAGACAGUUUAAAAGCAUUUCCUAAAGAAGAGUUCCAAAAACAAAGCACAAGAAUCUUCAGUAACAGCAGCAUCCCUGAAUAAGAAUAGAGCUCUCCAAAGUCAUUUCUGUAGAAGGCAAACACAUUAUGUUACCUUUGUCUCCUACAAACCCUGCACGUGCGCUGGACUGGACCUCUGCAGGCCAGGGUGUGCACCCUGAGUGUAUUUGCUGUUUUAAAAAAUUGUUUUCUGUUCAAAAACUGACCUGCUCUGUUCAUUUUCUGCAUAGGAGGCUGUUUUCUCCUGCCAGAGAAACGGAGGAAAAGCAAGAAAACCAUGGUCCAGCUGGGUGAAGCA
RNAcentral lists this long non-coding RNA (423 nucleotides) under Bos indicus x Bos taurus (hybrid cattle). RNAcentral's name for it is "lncRNA (ENSBIXG00000011079.1)". The record is from RNAcentral. Lineage: Eukaryota; Metazoa; Chordata; Mammalia; Artiodactyla; Bovidae.